This 72-nucleotide transfer RNA is filed under the name Camelus ferus (Wild Bactrian camel). It matches the Rfam family "tRNA". From Rfam's summary of the family: Transfer RNA (tRNA) molecules are approximately 80 nucleotides in length. Their secondary structure includes four short double-helical elements and three loops (D, anti-codon, and T loops). Lineage: Eukaryota; Metazoa; Chordata; Mammalia; Artiodactyla; Camelidae. The record is from Rfam by way of RNAcentral.
GAGGAUAUAAUUUAGUGGUAGAAUGCAUGCCUAACAUGCACGAAGUCCUGGGUUCAAUCCCCAGUACCUCCC